GCCAGCGUAGCUCAGAGGUAGAGCAGCGGUUUCGUAAACCGCCGAUCAUCGGUUCGAAUCCGAUCGCUGGCU
This 72-nucleotide transfer RNA is filed under the name Dehalococcoidia bacterium. RNAcentral's name for it is "tRNA-Thr". It matches the Rfam family "tRNA". Rfam says of the family: Transfer RNA (tRNA) molecules are approximately 80 nucleotides in length. Their secondary structure includes four short double-helical elements and three loops (D, anti-codon, and T loops). RNAcentral also lists the same sequence under 1 other name. Lineage: Bacteria; Bacillati; Chloroflexota; Dehalococcoidia. The record is from RNAcentral.